This is a long non-coding RNA of Hirundo rustica (Barn swallow), 1246 nucleotides long. RefSeq lists it as uncharacterized. Lineage: Eukaryota; Metazoa; Chordata; Aves; Passeriformes; Hirundinidae. The record is from RefSeq and is a predicted model, not a curated record. The transcript has 4 exons.
UGGAAAGUUCGUAUAAAAUAUCAGGUCCACUCUUUUUUGUGUGAGGUCGAGAGACAAGCAUGUCCAACUUAGUCCUUUGUGAAACUACCCAGGAAAAGAACAUCCCACCUCAAAUCCUAUGCCAUUAUUUCCUCUGACUUCUGUUGUUACUUCUCCUUUUGGACAUGCUGAGCAGCUGCAGUAGAAGAGUUGCUUUGGGUACUUCUGAUGAGGAGCUGAUAGCUCAGACGUGUAUUGGAGGUCCAGAAGUGGUAUUGGCCUGCGGGAUUCAAUUUCUCUUCUAGCACAUUUGCAUGAGGCAGCAUGAUAACCUUUCUAGCAAUGUUUUCCUCUUCACUUUGUCUUCCUUUCUGACAACAGAGCACAAAACCCUCGACGUGGUUGUACGGAGAGCUGCUGCAUGAAUGACUCAAGCUGUCUCCAGACACUGUGUUCCACUGACACGAGUCCUCACCUGGGAGCUACGGUUUCUCCCAAAAUGGGCACUUCCUGUGUGAGCUUUACAGAAUAAGGAGAAUUUUCUUCUUCCGCCUUAAGGAACGAGGAGAAGUGUCAGAGCCUGUAGUGCUUUCAGAUUUCCUUGCUAUAGGAGCACCUCCUGCUGGCUCUGCACUGCGCUGCCCUUGGACUCCCGAUUUUUCCAGACUUCGGAAUAAAGAAGUGAGGUUUCUCAAGACAGAGGAGAAUGGUCACCGUGGGACAAGUCCUGCUGCUGUGAAGGGAUCAUCAGUGUGGUACAUCUGUUGCUUCAGCCAGUGGCUAUGCCAGACUUGAGAGAAAACACGUCGCUCAUUAAAUGAAGACAACUAUCAUAAAUAAGCGAGAACAUUUGGAAAACUACCCAUGUCUCACUUUUGUUUGAAAGAAACUUCUCUUUUGGAAGUUCUUGAACAUAAAAGAGAGGAACUGCGCUGCCUCAUUCCACAUGAUUCUUUCUUCUUUCAUUUUUCUGGAGAAAAACAUGUGUUUCAACAUCUGAAUUUCCAGCAAAUGUUGCUUUCUACCUCAUGUGCCUGCUCCUUUGGCAAGGAGAAAUCGUUGUGUGUGUCUCUGUUGGUGCAGCUCCCUGCUCUAUUUUUGACCACACAGAGGAGAUGGAACUAGAAGGAGUGUUCUCCAGGAUGCCUUGAGCCACACUGAGAGCCUCGGAAUCCAGUUGAGCAUUGCUUGGGUGUGAACUUCCCUGCCUGUUUCCCAGCACAGGUUGCUCUCAGGCACAAGACUCUGCAACCUAUUUUGGUUGGUC